RNAcentral lists this unclassified non-coding RNA (354 nucleotides) under Hevea brasiliensis (rubber tree). Lineage: Eukaryota; Viridiplantae; Streptophyta; Magnoliopsida; Malpighiales; Euphorbiaceae. The record is from RNAcentral.
AAUGUGAUUUUCGAAGCUUCUAAGAACGAUUCCAACCAAUCCAACUGUCAAAUCUACGAUCCGAGACCACCAAUGAACUCAACACGUCAAAAGCUUUAAGAUGGAACCAACUCUGCUUCGAUCGGACACGGUUUGGAAAAGAUGAUUAUCGGACUGUUUCAGAUCGCUUGAUGCGAUCGGAUCGGCGACAGCUCUCGGCACUUGGGACCAAGUUUUUAAGCCGAGCCUGGUGCCCGACGGGCUGUCCCGAAAGAUAGUUGUAUUUACAGUUCUUUCCAUUGUUUUCAAACAUUUUGAAUGUGUUUCAGGUAGUAGAAUUUGUAAAAGUAGUCCCUAACUCAAGUUAUGUAGUUG